CCAUGUACUGGCUGGCCAAGACCCUCAAUGAAUUCGGCAUAUGGCCAAAUAGCCUAUUCGUAGCAACUGGCCAUCAAGGUAGAGCUUACGCAGGUGAUCAUUCCAGAAGCACCAGAUUCAGAAGGGUCUACUCAAUGCUAACAACCACUCAUCUAAUGGAAGUGAUAGGGUUGCGACGAGCCUUUGUUUCAUUAUAUAUUGCUGUCAUUUAACAUCAUUUUUUUCUUGUCAAUUAGGGCUGUGUUCUUCAUUCUCGAUUGCUAGGGUGCCUUCCUGAGAUUGUGAUUCAGAGUUCAGUGAAGGGAAGCUGUGUUUUCUUUAGGGCUAGUUUAGGCGUUUGUAGAAGUGGUAGCUGAGUAGAUUAGGCCUUUGGCUGUUUAGGAUAUUGAGAAUUUCCCACAAUUGAUUUGUCUGCAAUUUGGUGAGCAGAAGUUAUGAACAUAUAUGUCGAGGAUCCAAUUCGACUGAUGCUACUUGCAGAUGUUUUUAUCACUGAAACUCGUUUGAAAUCCAGUUUAGUGCUAAGUGCCCGAUAGUUUCCUGCAGUAGAUAAGGGUUCUAUGAUGGGUGUGAAACAAAAUCCCCGAGGGUGCUUAGUGCUAAUGUAAGUGGCAAUACUAUUCGGCCGUGAUUGUCGAUCAAUUGAACCCAUGUUUGCCAAGUCUGAACCUACUACACAUCUAUGC
This 686-nucleotide long non-coding RNA is filed under the name Linum usitatissimum (flax). RNAcentral describes it as "long non-coding RNA (LUSI_LNC001997)". The record is from RNAcentral. Lineage: Eukaryota; Viridiplantae; Streptophyta; Magnoliopsida; Malpighiales; Linaceae.